GACGAACGCUGGCGGCGUGCCUAAUACAUGCAAGUAGAACGCUGAAGGAGGAGCUUGCUUCUCUGGAUGAGUUGCGAACGGGUGAGUAACGCGUAGGUAACCUGCCUGGUAGCGGGGGAUAACUAUUGGAAACGAUAGCUAAUACCGCAUAAUAGUAGAUGUUGCAUGACAUUUGCUUAAAAGGUGCAAUUGCAUCACUACCAGAUGGACCUGCGUUGUAUUAGCUAGUUGGUGGGGUAACGGCUCACCAAGGCGACGGUACAUAGCCGACCUGAGAGGGGUAUCGGCCACCCUGGGACUGAGGCACGGCCCAGACUCCUUCGGGAGGCAGCAGUAGGGAAUCUUCGGCAAUGGACGGAAGUCUGACCGAGCAACGCCGCGUGAGUGAAGAAGGGUUUCGGAUCGUAAAGCUCUGUUGUAAGAGAAGAACGAGUGUGAGAGUGGAAAGUUCACACUGUGACGGUAUCUUACCAGAAAGGGACGGCUAACUACGUG
This 495-nucleotide ribosomal RNA is filed under the name uncultured bacterium. Its description in RNAcentral is "partial 16S ribosomal RNA". It matches the Rfam family "Bacterial small subunit ribosomal RNA", at positions 28 to 507 of the family's 1533-position model. The record is from RNAcentral.